This 468-nucleotide ribosomal RNA is filed under the name uncultured bacterium. RNAcentral's name for it is "bacterial SSU rRNA". It matches the Rfam family "Bacterial small subunit ribosomal RNA", at positions 29 to 514 of the family's 1533-position model. The record is from RNAcentral.
AUUGAACGCUGGCGGCAUGCUUUACACAUGCAAGUCGAACGGCAGCACAGGGAGCUUGCUCCCGGGUGGCGAGUGGCGCACGGGUGAGUAAUACAUCGGAACGUGUCCUGUUGUGGGGGAUAACUGCUCGAAAGGGUGGCUAAUACCGCAUGAGACCUGAGGGUGAAAGCGGGGGAUCGCAAGACCUCGCGCAAUUGGAGCGGCCGAUGCCCGAUUAGCUAGUUGGUGAGGUAAAGGCUCACCAAGGCGACGAUCGGUAGCUGGUCUGAGAGGACGACCAGCCACACUGGGACUGAGACACGGCCCAGACUCCUACGGGAGGCAGCAGUGGGGGAUAUUGCACAAUGGGGGGAAACCCUGAUGCAGCGACGCCGCGUGGAGGAAGAAGGUUUUCGGAUUGUAAACUCCUGUCGUUAGGGACGAUAAUGACGGUACUAACAAGAAGCACCGGCUAACACGUGCCAGCAG